GGUUAUGAUUAUUCAAGGAUGCCAGGGCAGAUGUCUCCCACUCCGCCAUGAAAAUGUUUGCGUAUGCCGUCCGACACUAUGGGCCUCCCGGGCGGAAUCUCAAAAGGAACACUCCACUUUGAGGGCUCCUUGUGGAUUUUGGGGAGGAGAUAAAAAAGUCUGGGCCUCGGGAUCGGGU
Larimichthys crocea (large yellow croaker) is the source of this 178-nucleotide long non-coding RNA. RefSeq lists it as uncharacterized. The transcript has 3 exons. Lineage: Eukaryota; Metazoa; Chordata; Actinopteri; Sciaenidae. The record is from RefSeq and is a predicted model, not a curated record.